UUCGGAAUGAUUUUAAUUGGAUUAGUGGCGAACGGGUGAGUAACGCGUGAGUAACCUGCCUUACACAAGGGGAUAGCCUCUGGAAACGGAGAAUAAUACCCUAUGAAACUAUCUUAUCGCAUGAAAAGAUAGUCAAAGUGUUUUAGCGGUGUAAGAUGGACUUGCGUCUGAUUAGCUAGUUGGUGAGAUAACAGCCCACCAAGGCAACGAUCAGUAGCCGGCUUGAGAGAGUGUACGGCCACAUUGGGACUGAGACACGGCCCAGACUCCUACGGGAGGCAGCAGUGGGGAAUUUUGCACAAUGGGGGCAACCCUGAUGCAGCGACGCCGCGUGAUUUAGAAGGCCUUCGGGUUGUAAAAAUCUUUUGUAUAGGAAGAAAAUGACAGUACUAUACGAAUAAGGUCCGGCUAAUUACGUGCCAGCAGCCGCGGUAAUACGUAAGGACCGAGCGUUGUCCGGAAUCAUUGGGCGUAAAGGGUACGUAGGCGGUUAGAAAAGUUAGAAGUGAAAGGCUAUAGCUCAACUAUAGUAAGCUUUUAAAACUGUUUAACUUGAGAGAUGGAAGGGAAAGUGGAAUUCCUAGUGUAGCGGUGAAAUGCGCAGAUAUUAGGAGGAAUACCGGUGGCGAAGGCGA
Molecule: ribosomal RNA, 635 nt
Filed under: uncultured Eubacteriales bacterium
Lineage: Bacteria; Bacillati; Bacillota; Clostridia; Eubacteriales
Description: bacterial SSU rRNA
Rfam family: Bacterial small subunit ribosomal RNA
Source: RNAcentral